Melospiza melodia melodia is the source of this 1458-nucleotide long non-coding RNA. RefSeq lists it as uncharacterized. The transcript is spliced from 3 exons. NCBI's taxonomy places the organism in Eukaryota, Metazoa, Chordata, Aves, Passeriformes, Passerellidae. The record is from RefSeq and is a predicted model, not a curated record.
AGCCACCUCCCACCCGCCCCAGCCGUGCUCCACUGCCCGUUUGUAUCCCCAGCACAAUGGCCAUGCACUCAGUCUGGGGAAAAUAAAUGGGAUCUAUUGCCAGAUAAAAUUGACCCAAUACCUGCCCCUCUUCUUCGCCAGGAUCCCUGUGGGACCUGACUCAAGACAGUCAGGAGCUGUGGCUCAGGUUCCACAGUGGCCCAGCAUCUGCAGCCUGAGGGCAAGAAAAAGGGAGGAAUAGAGGCAUGGGAAGGCAGUUCCUAUAGAAAACAACCAUGGAAACCACAGGAGGGAAGCAGUGAGAGGAGCAACGAGUCAACAUAUUCCGGAGUUAAAGAAAACAAAAAAGGCAGCAGCAUGCCAGCCCUAAAAGUAUACAACUCUAACUAUUGUGAGUGCCAGCUUGCAGCAAGUUCAGUCUGGAGCCCUGGACCUGAGUUUGGUCCUUGAAAUAGUUUUGCAUGUUUCCCUAAAAUUGUAGGAAAAGUUUUGCUGAAAGAGAUCUCUUGAGGUCUAGCACAGUCCCCAGAUGCUUGCUCUCAUCUUUUUACUUUUGUAAUACAUCAUCCCCACCACUAUAUUUUUUUGCAAAUGACAAAAAGUAUCAGUAAAGGUGAUGCAGGGCAAGGUGGAGAUGGAUACAAAACACAAUGAAUACAAAAAGAGGUAACCAGCAAGCUUUAAUCUUUCACCAGCCUUGAUGACAGAAGAAUGGAAUGUGUGAAAACCAACUAAUCAUCUGGAUUCCUAGGAACCUUCUAACAGGUGCAUGGCAGCUACCCAUGGAGAGCAAGGCUUCUUUGUUCUAUAGCUCCAGCUUCCCAAGUUCAAGCAAUGGCCUAGGAAUGUGCAAUCACUGCCAGAGGUGACACUCUGCUUUACAAUCAUCACUGAUAGUUCCUUGCAGUGCAGACAUAUCACACUUGGGACAGGAUUUUGUCUGAAUGUAUGGAUUAUCUUGAAUCAGGAAACUAGUUACCCAGGGAGUUUAUCCUAUUUGGAAGGGAGGGGAAGGCUUCUGAAGGCAUAGGAACUAACAGACACUUUUCAAUGUAGAAAAGAAACAAUCAUUCAUUGUUCCUUUACAAUGAGGCUAUUAUGAAAAAGGUGAGUUGGGUUGUUUUAAUAGUGAGCUGCAGAGCAGAAGUGCAGCGAUCUUGAUCAGAUUUAACUGUUAACACUAUCCUCUGUCUUUCUAAAUACCUCUGGAUUUGCAUGUUUGGGUGCCUAAGAAAUAUUCACACGUAAGAUGGUAUCCACAGUCUGUUGAUUGAGAGAAAAUAUUGGGUAAUAUUUACAGAGGAGGGAGUAAGUCAUCUAUUGCUACAGAGAUAAAGCUACAACAAAACUAAGAACUAGUCAAGGCUGUAAGGGAUAGGUUAGGAAAUUAUUAAUACUAACAGUAACAAAGGUUACAGUGAAGUUUUCCUGUAAAGGAAAAGCCUCCAAUUAAGGUAA